Molecule: ribosomal RNA, 495 nt
Filed under: uncultured bacterium
Lineage: Bacteria
Description: partial 16S ribosomal RNA
Rfam family: Bacterial small subunit ribosomal RNA
Source: RNAcentral
GACGAACGCUGGCGGCGUGCCUAAUACAUGCAAGUAGAACGCUGAAGGAGGAGCUUGCUUCUCUGGAUGAGUUGCGAACGGGUGAGUAACGCGUAGGUAACCUGCCUGGUAGCGGGGGAUAACUAUUGGAAACGAUAGCUAAUACCGCAUAAUAGCAGUUAUUGCAUGAUAACUGUUUGAAAGGUGCAAUUGCACCACUACCAGAUGGACCUGCGUUGUAUUAGCUAGUUGGUGGGGUAACGGCUCACCAAGGCGACGAUACAUAGCCGGCCUGAGAGGGGGAUCGGCCACACUGGGACUGAGACACGGCCCAGACUCCUACGGGAGGCAGCAGUAGGGAAUCUUCGGCAAUGGACGGAAGUCUGACCGAGCAACGCCGCGUGAGUGAAGAAGGUUUUCGGAUCGUAAAGCUCUGUUGUAAGAGAAGAACGAGUGUGAGAGUGGAAAGUUCACACUGUGACGGUAUCUUACCAGAAAGGGACGGCUAACUACGUG